CGGCUUUUCCGCCCUGACCGUGCUCCUGAUGCCUUCCGGCCGCCGUAGGCGAAGGUUCGCGGAAGCGGCGAGCAGGCGCUCACCUGAGCUGACUCAGAAAUUGGGAUGAUUUCUCUGUGGAUCCUAUAAGGAGCCUGGAGAUGGUGAAGAGAAUGCCUUGACCAUCAGGAGACAGCUUACCUUAUUGAAUCUUGAUCACUUCUUCUGACUACUUUGGAUAUUAAAAGAACAAGAUAUGCUCAUAAGGUGCCUCAUUCUUGUAACUGCUGGAGAUAGGAUGAUGAUGACACAGAUUCUGUCUUCAAGAAGCUCACAAAAAAGUGGGAAAAUGAUGUGACUGCAGAUAAAGACCAUGAGAAGGACUCUUUACACAAGAUAUUUGCUUAAGUACUGAAGGGCCUAGAAGACAGAGUGACCAGUGUCCAAAAUCCUUUGUGAAUUGCAUUCACAUACGGCACCUGAUUUGAUUCUCAGAGCACCCAGAUGGCUGUUUUUUGGUGGUUUUUUUAAAGUAUGGAAAGACAAAUGCCCCAGUUCCCAGCAAGUUCUACUUCAUCAUGCUAUAGGCUUCUGUGAAUAGGAAAAAUGUACCACCAUCAAGAAGCAAGCAGCUUGCUUGUGUUUCAGAGGAACCACCCAUGGAAGAACGUCUUCUUGGAUUAAAACUAGUAUUGCCAUGUUCCAUUCUAGAAUGUCCAAAUGCCACCCUUCUGAAGAUGUUUAGUUCAAGAGUUUCCAUUUUCACAUUAAGUUUCGAUGUCCAUACUUAGUGGGAUGAAGAUGGUGGUGUAUGGCUUUUCUCUCUUACAACAUUUUUUUUGUCCCUUAUCUAUACAUCUUUUCCCUAAAUAUUCAGCAAGAUUUGAAGUUGUAAAAAAAUCCUAAACUUCCCCAAUUGUAGGAAUGAUAACUGGAAUAUUAUUUUAAGAGCAAAUACAUGUACAUUCCUAAUGUUGCUUGAAUGGGAAUUAUGAAGAAGAAGAAGAAAAAAAAGAAAAAAAAGAAAAACAAACCCAUGAGAGUUUGGGUUGCUAUUUCUGACCAAGUUGAAAUUGUGAAAUACCAGAAGUCCCACAGGAAAUCUUAUCUCACCGGAAGACGAUCAUGGUCUCUUGGCCAAAGAACGGUAUGCAUUUUUGUGUAAAUAAAACUUGCAGACCCAGACAGAGGGCUGGGCUACCUUGCAGCUUAGCCUGUCAUUUAUUAUCAUUCACAAGGUGGUGUUAGAUGCUCAGCUUUAAAAAGAACUGACUUUUCAGCAGUAUUUUUACCCUUGAGAGUAUAUAGAGAGAGCUCUGUGUUGUAUAUUAAUCAGAGCUUUCACGACUUGCUUUGAAUGGUAUUCGAAAUGUGUCUGGAAGAAUAGUGGAUGAACUAUGCCCAAAGUGUGCUCUAUUAUUUAUUACUCAGGAGCCUUUCCAUCUGAG
Molecule: long non-coding RNA, 1427 nt
Organism: Piliocolobus tephrosceles (Ugandan red Colobus)
Lineage: Eukaryota; Metazoa; Chordata; Mammalia; Primates; Cercopithecidae
Exons: 3
Source: RefSeq, a predicted model, not a curated record